UGGGGAAUAUUGCACAAUGGGGGGAACCCUGAUGCAGCGACGCCGCGUGGGUGAAGAAGUAUUUCGGUAUGUAAAGCCCUGUCAGCAGGGAAGAAGAAUGACGGUACCUGACCAAGAAGCACCGGCUAAAUACGUGCCAGCAGCCGCGGUAAUACGUAUGGUGCAAGCGUUAUCCGGAUUUACUGGGUGUAAAGGGAGCGCAGGCGGCGCGUUAAGUCUGAUGUGAAAACCCGCGGCUCAACUGCGGGACUGCAUUGGAAACUGGCGCGCUUGAGUGCCGGAGAGGCAAGCGGAAUUCCUAGU
RNAcentral lists this ribosomal RNA (303 nucleotides) under uncultured bacterium. RNAcentral describes it as "bacterial SSU rRNA". It matches the Rfam family "Bacterial small subunit ribosomal RNA", at positions 355 to 674 of the family's 1533-position model. The record is from RNAcentral.